GACGAACGCUGGCGGCGUGCCUAAUACAUGCAAGUAGAACGCUGAAGAGAGGAGCUUGCUCUUCUUGGAUGAGUUGCGAACGGGUGAGUAACGCGUAGGUAACCUGCCUUGUAGCGGGGGAUAACUAUUGGAAACGAUAGCUAAUACCGCAUAACAAUGGAUGACACAUGUCAUUUAUUUGAAAGGGGCAAUUGCUCCACUACAAGAUGGACCUGCGUUGUAUUAGCUAGUAGGUGAGGUAAUGCCUCACCUAGGCGACGAUACAUAGCCGACCUGAGAGGGUGAUCGGCCACACUGGGACUGAGACACGGCCCAGACUCCUACGGGAGGCAGCAGUAGGGAAUCUUCGGCAAUGGGGGCAACCCUGACCGAGCAACGCCGCGUGAGUGAAGAAGGUUUUCGGAUCGUAAAGCUCUGUUGUAAGUCAAGAACGGGUGUGAGAGUGGAAAGUUCACACUGUGACGGUAGCUUACCAGAAAGGGACGGCUAACUACGUG
This 497-nucleotide ribosomal RNA is filed under the name uncultured bacterium. Its description in RNAcentral is "partial 16S ribosomal RNA". It matches the Rfam family "Bacterial small subunit ribosomal RNA", at positions 28 to 507 of the family's 1533-position model. The record is from RNAcentral.